This 1241-nucleotide ribosomal RNA is filed under the name metagenome. RNAcentral describes it as "bacterial LSU rRNA". It matches the Rfam family "Bacterial large subunit ribosomal RNA", at positions 1564 to 2814 of the family's 2925-position model. The record is from RNAcentral.
UGAAUACGAGACGCUAAGGCGUCGAAGUAGUGUAUGUCAUACUUCCAAGAAAAGCUUGCACUGUCAUAAGUAAAAAAUGCCUGUACCAUAACCGACACAGGUGGGUAGGUAGAGUAUACUAAGGGGCGCGAGAUAACUCUCUCUAAGGAACUCGGCAAAAUAACUCCGUAACUUCGGGAGAAGGAGUACCUUAUUCUAUAAGGUUGCAAUAACAAGAUCCAAGCAACUGUUUAUCAAAAACACAGGUCUCCGCUAAGUCGUAAGACGAUGUAUGGGGGCUGACGCCUGCCCAGUGCCAGAAGGUUAAAGAAGUCGGUUAGCAUUAGCGAAGCUGGUAACUGAAGCCCUGGUGAACGGCGGCCGUAACGAUAACGGUCCUAAGGUAGCGAAAUUCCUUGUCGGGUAAGUUCCGACCCGCACGAAAGGCGUAAUGAUUUGGAUACUGUCUCGGAGAGGGGCUCGGUGAAAUAGACUUGUCUGUGAAGAUGCGGACUACCUGCACCAGAACAGAAAGACCCUAUGAAGCUUUACUGUAACUUGAAAUUGAAAUUGGACUUUAUUCGCGCAGUAUAGGUGGGAGGUGUUGAUUAUAAUCUUGCGGGAUUAUUGGAGCCAUCAGUGAGAUACCACUCUUGUAAUGUUAGAUUUCUAACUUUGAAUCAUUAUCUGGUCAAAGGACAGUUUCAGGCGGGCAGUUUGACUGGGGCGGUCGCCUCCCAAACGGUAACGGAGGCGUACAAAGGUUUCCUCUGAACGGGUAGAAAUCGUAUCUAGAGUGUAAAGGCAUAAGGAAGCUUGACUGUGAGACCUACAAGUCGAACAGGGACGAAAGUCGGUCUUAGUGAUCUGACGGUACUGAGUGGAAAGGCCGUCACUCAACGGAUAAAAGUUACUCUAGGAUAACAGGCUGAUCUCCCCCAAGAGUUCACAUCGACGGGGAGGUUUGGCACCUCGAUGUCGGCUCAUCGCAUCCUGGGGCGGUAGUACGUCCCAAGGGUUGGGCUGUUCGCCCAUGAAAGCGGUACGCGAGCUGGGUUCAGAACGUCGUGAGACAGUUCGGUCCAUAUCCGGUGUAGGCGUUAGAAUAUUGAGAGGAGCCUUCUUUAGUACGAGAGGACCGAGAAGGACAUACCUCUGGUGUACCAGUUAUCGUGCCAACGGUAAACGCUGGGUAGCUAUGUAUGGAGUGGAUAACCGCUGAAAGCAUCUAAGUGGGAAGCCCACCUCAAGAUAAGUAUUCU